Molecule: non-coding RNA, 28 nt
Filed under: unclassified sequences
Description: L19-Flavobacteria ribosomal protein leader
Rfam family: L19-Flavobacteria ribosomal protein leader
Source: RNAcentral
CAACCGCUGGCGUAAAACGUGGAUGUUG